This 939-nucleotide ribosomal RNA is filed under the name Trachymyrmex diversus symbiont 180892-10. RNAcentral describes it as "eukaryotic LSU rRNA". It matches the Rfam family "Eukaryotic large subunit ribosomal RNA", at positions 54 to 978 of the family's 3401-position model. Lineage: Eukaryota; Fungi; Basidiomycota; Agaricomycetes; Agaricales; Agaricaceae. The record is from RNAcentral.
AGGAAAAGAAACUAACAAGGAUUCCCGUAGUAACUGCGAGUGAAGUGGGAAGAGCUCAAAUUGGAAUCUGGGGUUCUGGCCGCCGAGUUGUAAUCUAGAGAAGUGUUACCUGCGCUGGACCGUGUACAAGUCUCCUGGAACGGAGCGUCAUAGAGGGUGAGAAUCCCGUCUCUGACACGGACUACCAGGGCUUUGUGGUAUGCUCUCAAAGAGUCGAGUUGUUUGGGAAUGCAGCUCAAAAUGGGUGGUAAACUCCAUCUAAAGCUAAAUACUGGCGAGAGACCGAUAGUGAACAAGUACCGUGAGGGAAAGAUGAAAAGAACUUUGGAAAGAGAGUUAAACAGUACGUGAAAUUGCUGAAAGGGAAACGCUUGAAGUCAGUCGCGUUGGCUGGGGAUCAGCUUCACAAGCUGUGUGGUGUAUUUCCUGGUUGACGGGUCAGCAUCAAUUUUGACCGCUGGAGAAAGGCUUGGGGAAUGUAGCAGCCCUGGCUGUGUUAUAGCCUCUUGUCAGAUACAGUGGUUGGGAUUGAGGUGUGCAGCACGCCGCGAGGCCGGGGCUGUUAUAGACCACGUUCGUGCUUAGGAUGUUGACAUAAUGGCUUUAAGCGACCCCUCUUGAAACACGGACCAAGGAGUCUAACAUGCCUCCGAGUGUUUGGGUGGAAAACCCGUGCGCGCAAUGAAAGUGAAAGUUGAGAUCCCUGUCGUGGGGAGCAUCGACGCCCGGACCUGAACUUUUGGGAUGGAUCUCCGGUAGAGCAUGUAUGUUGGGACCCGAAAGAUGGUGAACUAUGCCUGAAUAGGGCGAAGCCAGAGGAAACUCUGGUGGAGGCUCGUAGCGAUUCUGACGUGCAAAUCGAUCGUCAAAUUUGGGUAUAGGGGCGAAAGACUAAUCGAACCAUCUAGUAGCUGGUUCCUGCCGAAGUUUCCCUCAGGA